CCUACGGGAGGUAGCAGUCGAGAAUCAUUCACAAUGGGGGCAACCCUGAUGGUGCGACGCCGCGUGGGGGAAUGAAGGUCUUCGGAUUGUAAACCCCUGUCAUGUGGGAGCAAAUUAAAAAGAUAGUACCACAAGAGGAAGAGACGGCUAAUUCAGUGCCAGCAGCCGCGGUAAUACAGAGGUGUCAAGCGUUGUGCGGAAUCACUGGGCGUAAAGCGUGCGUAGGCUGUUGCGUAAGUCGGGUGUGAAAGGCCCGGGCUCAACCCCCGGACGGCACAUGAUACUGCGAGGCUAGAGUAUAGGAGUGGGAGCCGGAAUGCACGGUGUAGCAGUGAAAUGCGUAGAUAUC
This 349-nucleotide ribosomal RNA is filed under the name uncultured bacterium. RNAcentral's name for it is "partial 16S ribosomal RNA". It matches the Rfam family "Bacterial small subunit ribosomal RNA", at positions 338 to 698 of the family's 1533-position model. The record is from RNAcentral.